CAAUAGCGUAUAUUUAAGUUGCUGCAGUUAAAAAGCUCGUAGUUGGAUUUCGGGUGGGAAUGGCCGGUCCGCCGUUUCGGUGUGCACUUGCUACGCCCACCUUGCUGCCGGGGACGUGCUCUUGAGUUCACGCUCGGGACACGGAGUCGGCGAGGUUACUUUGAGUAAAUUAGAGUGUUCAAAGCAGGCCUACGCUCUGAAUACAUUAGCAUGGAAUAACACGAUAGGACUCUGGCCUAUCUUGUUGGUCUGUAGGACCGGAGUAAUGAUUAAGAGGGACAGUCGGGGGCAUCGUAUUUCAUUGUCAGAGGUGAAAUUCUUGGAUUUAUGAAAGACGAACUACUGCGAAAGCAUUUGCCAAGGAUGUUUUCAUUAA
This 376-nucleotide ribosomal RNA is filed under the name uncultured eukaryote. RNAcentral describes it as "partial 18S ribosomal RNA". It matches the Rfam family "Eukaryotic small subunit ribosomal RNA", at positions 592 to 976 of the family's 1831-position model. The record is from RNAcentral.